GAUGAACGCUGGCGGCGUGCCUAAUACAUGCAAGUCGAGCGAACGGACGAGAAGCUUGCUUCUCUGAUGUUAGCGGCGGACGGGUGAGUAACACGUGGAUAACCUACCUAUAAGACUGGGAUAACUUCGGGAAACCGGAGCUAAUACCGGAUAAUAUUUUGAACCGCAUGGUUCAAAAGUGAAAGACGGUCUUGCUGUCACUUAUAGAUGGAUCCGCGCUGCAUUAGCUAGUUGGUAAGGUAACGGCUUACCAAGGCAACGAUGCAUAGCCGACCUGAGAGGGUGAUCGGCCACACUGGAACUGAGACACGGUCCAGACUCCUACGGGAGGCAGCAGUAGGGAAUCUUCCGCAAUGGGCGAAAGCCUGACGGAGCAACGCCGCGUGAGUGAUGAAGGUCUUCGGAUCGUAAAACUCUGUUAUUAUGGAAGAACAUAUGUGUAAGUAACUGUGCACAGCUUGACGGUACCUAAUCAGAAAGCCACGGCUAACUACGUG
Molecule: ribosomal RNA, 497 nt
Filed under: uncultured bacterium
Lineage: Bacteria
Description: partial 16S ribosomal RNA
Rfam family: Bacterial small subunit ribosomal RNA
Source: RNAcentral